AGAGUUUGAUCAUGGCUCAGGAUGAACGCUGGCGGUAUGCCUAACACAUGCAAGUCGAACGAUGUCUUCGGACAUAGUGGCGGACGGGUGAGUAACGCGUGAGAAUCUGCCUCUAGGAUGGGGAUAACGGUUGGAAACGACCGCUAACACCCAAUAUGCCGUAAGGUGAAGAAUUUAUUGCCUGGAGAGGAGCUCGCGUCUGAUUAGCUAGUUGGUGGGGUAAGAGCUCACCAAGGCCUCGAUCAGUAGCUGGUCUGAGAGGAUGAGCAGCCACACUGGGACUGAGACACGGCCCAGACUCCUACGGGAGGCAGCAGUGGGGAAUUUUCCGCAAUGGGCGAAAGCCUGACGGAGCAAUACCGCGUGAGGGAGGAAUGCCUUUGGGUUGUAAACCUCUUUUCUCAGGGAAGAAGAUCUGACGGUACCUGAGGAAUAAGUAUCGGCUAACUCCGUGCCAGCAGCCGCGGUAAUACGGAGGAUGCAAGCGUUAUCCGGAAUCAUUGGGCGUAAAGCGUCCGCAGGUGGUUUCCAAAGUCUGCUGUUAAAGACUGGAGCUCAACUCCGGAACGGCGGUGGAAACUUGGAAACUAGAGUUCGGUAGGGGUAGCAGGAAUUCCCAGUGUAGCGGUGAAAUGCGUAGAUAUUGGGAAGAACAUCGGUGGCGAAGGCGUGCUACUGGACCGUAACUGACACUCAGGGACGAAAGCUAGGGGAGCGAAAGGGAUUAGAUACCCCUGUAGUCCUAGCUGUAAACGAUGGAAACUAGGUGUGGCUUGUAUCGACCC
RNAcentral lists this ribosomal RNA (785 nucleotides) under uncultured marine microorganism. RNAcentral's name for it is "bacterial SSU rRNA". It matches the Rfam family "Bacterial small subunit ribosomal RNA", at positions 8 to 838 of the family's 1533-position model. The record is from RNAcentral.